GUAUAAAGUGUAUCAUUGGAAAAUUGACAGAAGUUAUUUUUAAUCUUUUCUAAUAUUUGGUUUGUUCCCUGGUUUCUAAUAUCAUACUGUAUUAUUCACAUUAGUGAAAUCAAGAUUUGCAUUCAUUUAGUCAUAAACACAUUAUUGUGUUUAUUUUGAGGUUUAAAUUGUAUUAUACCACAGAUUUUCACUGGCAUGUUCUCCCUGUGUCAGUGUGGGUUUAUGCCGGGUACUCUGGUUUCUUCCCACAGUCCAAAGACAUGCAGGUUAAGGCUCGUACAGACUACAUGACUUUAAAACGUUGGUCCGAACUGUGCGGUUCACACUACAUGACUUGCUCUCUGUGAAAUCAGGAGUGUUCACGUUGUUGAUCAGUUCACACCACACGACAUAACGUGACUGCCCCACAACAGGAGGUAACGCACUACACGAGUUGAGAACAACUCUAUCACCCGGCGAUUCUAUCUUGUCCACAAACCACGUUUUGUCACGAAAAAUCACGCGAUAAAACAAACCGGAAAUGACGCGAAACAACACGCGCACCAGUAAACCCACAGAAGAAGAAUGAAGACGACGCGCAAAACUUUUGUUUGUAUAUAUAGACUUCAGACAGAAAUUCGUGCUGCAAACCGUUUGCGCGAUGCAAAGCCGCAAAAGAAAAAAAUGAAGAGAUGUGUAUGUGGAGAGGUGGAUCAACACCACACGAGGACAGCAGGGAUUUAAGAGUUGGAGAAUAGGACAGGCUUCGCAAAGCAUGACUUGGAGAGCGUUUGUCUUUGACCCUGCGAUUCUAUGCAACAGGUGACACGUUCAAGUCCCUCAGGUUCAAGUCCAGGAUGGGGGACCAGCACCAUCCCACAAAUAGUUUUGGAUAGCUGUUCUGUACCAGGUUAUAAAGGACGAUUUCUUGAAGACACCAUCAACGGAAGGAGAGUGGCAUAGCCGUGGACUUCGAAAGGAAGUGGCAGUUUCCACAUUGCUUUGGGGUACUUGCUACCACUCCAGCUGUAGCAGACUGCUGACCAAAACAUGGUUGAUGGGCAAUGGAAGAAUCGUGGGACGGGUGCUUUUCAACCGAUGAACACCACCUCACAUCGCAAUUGUAUGGCAACAGCAAAAGUGCAACACAAUCUGAUGCGGGACUACUUUGUCUCACCAGCGUGUAGUGUUUAUUGGCAAGUUCAACACAUUUUAAAAGGAACUGAUGUAGAGUUAUCCCUGCAAACAGCAGAUUAAAGCCAGUUAUUGUCAGUUUAGGACAUUCGUUUUCUUGUGUGUUCUAAAGUCCUGUAUUUGUAAAGAACACAAUGUGGUUCACUUUUUCAUUGUUUUAAGUAUUCUGUUUAUUGUUGUGUUAUUAUUCAAUUAAUUUUAAUUGCAUACAAAUCAAAAGGUGCAGGAAUGUAACAAAUAAAGGCAAUCUGCAUGUUACAUAAUACUAACUUUAUUUCUUGAUCCACACUCAUUAUUCACAGAACAUUAACAAUGUUUCUAUACUACGGCGCUAAACAUCAACAUAUCUGAUCAUGCUAAAAAUUUAUGGGGAUUGUGAUGAUAAGCUCUGGGCAUUUUUACUCAAUGUGGAUUAAUCUAACAGCCAAUCACACACAAUUAUAUUACGAUAUUUAUAUAUCACCCAGCCCUUAAAAGGGCUCUACAUAGGGAUUUUUGUAAUGUUUAAUUGUGUUAAUGUGGUGCACUGCACGUGUUCUAACAAUGUAUAUUUUGUCUGUCCACAUAAUAUACAUUCAAAUGUACUACAUUGUUUUCAAGUUGCACAAACAACAAUGCAAGGCUAUAAAGCACUA
Molecule: non-coding RNA, 1808 nt
Organism: Paramisgurnus dabryanus
Lineage: Eukaryota; Metazoa; Chordata; Actinopteri; Cypriniformes; Cobitidae
Source: RefSeq, a predicted model, not a curated record